AUGUCGUUGUUGUUUGUUCUUGACCUGUUACUGUAUCAGUUCCUGUCCGAAUGGCCUUCUGUAUCUCCUGCUGAUAUCACAGCAGAGCUGGAUGUGCUUGCACAGCGCUUUCUUGACCUGACACACUGCUUCCACGCCGAGCUACAGGCCCAGAAGGACUCCGAUUCAGGGACCUUGCAUGAGAGAGAAUAUGAGUCCUUGCUGAUGCUGGAGGGUUUGGAGAGGAUGAUGGCAGAACUUACUACGUGUGCUGAUCAUCGAACGAAAGACUGGGAGAGGUGGGAUAUGAGCCUCUCUGAAGCUUUGUGUCCCGUCCGGAGGAGAGGUGAAUGGGGCGACCCGGCCCGUUCCUGCCUGCCACCCAUCCUGUCGUAG
Cyprinus carpio (common carp) is the source of this 375-nucleotide long non-coding RNA. Lineage: Eukaryota; Metazoa; Chordata; Actinopteri; Cypriniformes; Cyprinidae. The record is from Ensembl.